UCCGGUUUUGCCGUCAAAAGCGUCCGUGUAGCAUAAUUCUGCAUAGGUUUGGACACAAUCAGUCUUGACUCGUAUGCACUUUGCGUAUAUAUCCUUGACUUUGAUGUUGUAGUCUCCAGCGUUGUUUUGAACAGUGAACACAUUUCCCGAGCAGAUGGUAGUAGGCUACAGGGCUGUUUUGAAUGAUGUACAGUGAACAAAUUUCCCGAGCAGAUGGUGUUAAACUGCCGCGUGUAGCCUGCGCUACAUGCUACGGCUUUGGCUGAAAUAGUUUAAAUACGCAAGCGUGGACGUUGUUGCAAUUUUCUGUAAGCGUAGUCGUUAAGCGCUGAAAAUUCAUACUAUACGUUCAUCUAAGAUGGACUGAGUUUUGGCUGCAGUGCAGUGCCACUCUUUAGUUGACAGUGGACAGUUUGGAAGUGAUUUGAUGUGAUGAGCGCAGCCCCGUCAGUCUCUGUGGAACAGAUGGAUGGUCGCUGCGGGCAGUAGCACUGAAACUGUUCAGGUGGCUGGUUUUCUGGUCAUGAUUGACCUGUAUGGGCCCGUCUGCCAUUUUCCUGAGGAGGAUUUUGGACCAGUGGAACGGGCGUAGACUUGGUGAUGGUUGCGGUCUGUAGCCGGUGGCUCCUUCAGCCGGCCAGCGGUUGAAAAAACACACCGUCUCUACUUCGUCACUGCCGUCCUUGGUUUAACCACUUCCUCCUCCACUGCCUGUGCUCACCGUCUGUAAGACCUCGCCUUCCCCCCACCACCCAACAGUCUGCUCAGUGUGGAGGAACCAUGGCAACUGGCCAACCUUGUGUUGACAUCACCGAGCUUUAAAUACAAUCUCCUUGCCAGACAACUAUUCAUUCUGCAGUGUAUUCACAGCUAGCUAUAAAUACACGCCUUCCUCCUCAUAAUUGUCGCUUCACCAGACUUGUUUGGAUCAGCAGGAAACGUGUACAUUUGUUUGAGGGGCUGGCGGUUGUGUUUGUGUGUGAGGAUACAUGUCUGGGAUUCAGAUUUUCCUCUAUACGCGGG
Esox lucius (northern pike) is the source of this 1023-nucleotide long non-coding RNA. Lineage: Eukaryota; Metazoa; Chordata; Actinopteri; Esociformes; Esocidae. The record is from Ensembl.